GGUGGACCUCGGAUCAGGCAGGGAUA
Molecule: ribosomal RNA, 26 nt
Filed under: Mycosphaerella sp. NSW15
Lineage: Eukaryota; Fungi; Ascomycota; Dothideomycetes; Mycosphaerellales; Mycosphaerellaceae
Also listed under: 1 other name
Description: partial 28S ribosomal RNA
Source: RNAcentral